This 495-nucleotide ribosomal RNA is filed under the name uncultured bacterium. RNAcentral describes it as "partial 16S ribosomal RNA". It matches the Rfam family "Bacterial small subunit ribosomal RNA", at positions 28 to 507 of the family's 1533-position model. The record is from RNAcentral.
GACGAACGCUGGCGGCGUGCCUAAUACAUGCAAGUAGAACGCUGAAGGAGGAGCUUGCUUCUCCGGAUGAGUUGCGAACGGGUGAGUAACGCGUAGGUAACCUGCCUGGUAGCGGGGGAUAACUAUUGGAAACGAUAGCUAAUACCGCAUAAGAGUAGAUGUUGCAUGACAUUUGCUUAAAAGGUGCAAUUGCAUCACUACCAGAUGGACCUGCGUUGUAUUAGCUAGUUGGUGAGGUAACGGCUCACCAAGGCGACGAUACAUAGCCGACCUGAGAGGGUGAUCGGCCACACGGGGACUGAGACACGGCCCAGACUCCUACGGGAGGCAGCAGUAGGGAAUCUUCGGCAAUGGACGGAAGUCUGACCGAGCAACGCCGCGUGAGUGAAGAAGGUUGUCGGAUCGUAAAGCUCUGUUGUAAGAGAAGAACGAGUGUGAGAGUGGAAAGUUCACACUGUGACGGUAUCUUACCAGAAAGGGACGGCUAACUACGUG